This 253-nucleotide ribosomal RNA is filed under the name uncultured bacterium. RNAcentral describes it as "partial 16S ribosomal RNA". It matches the Rfam family "Bacterial small subunit ribosomal RNA", at positions 524 to 776 of the family's 1533-position model. The record is from RNAcentral.
UACGUAGGGUGCGAGCGUUGUCCGGAAUUAUUGGGCGUAAAGAGCUCGUAGGCGGUCUGUCGCGUCGGAUGUGAAAGCCCGGGGCUUAACUCCGGGUCUGCAUUCGAUACGGGCAGACUAGAGUGUGGUAGGGGAGACUGGAAUUCCUGGUGUAGCGGUGGAAUGCGCAGAUAUCAGGAGGAACACCGAUGGCGAAGGCAGGUCUCUGGGCCGCAACUGACGCUGAGGAGCGAAAGCAUGGGGAGCGAACAGG